RNAcentral lists this small RNA (529 nucleotides) under Pongo abelii (Sumatran orangutan). RNAcentral's name for it is "retained intron". The record is from RNAcentral. Lineage: Eukaryota; Metazoa; Chordata; Mammalia; Primates; Hominidae.
UAGAGGGGCGGCUGUGGAAUGGUAGGGGAGUAGCUUUCAGUACUUGGGGUUCAUUUGUUGUGCUGAUGUAAUUCUUUUCCGCUGGCAUCUUUCUCUUUUGUUCUUGCAUUUCUGAAUCUUAAGAGUGUAGGAUGCCUAACACUGAGUUUGGAGGUUUGGGCUGGGGGUUCAGAAUUUCGUGUCCUCAGAGACAUUUCAUGUUGACGGAAGGCCUGAAGGACUAUGCUGUUGCCCUUCUGAAAGAUAACUGUAUGUCUAAAGGAAUCAUCACCUCGUAUGGCAUCGCCCUCUCCCCCAAUCUAUUUCAGGUGAGCCAGUGGUACGAGCUGGUGGUGUUUACAGCAAGCAUGGAGAUCUAUGGCUCUGCUGUGGCAGAUAAACUGGACAACAGCAGAAGCAUUCUUAAGAGGAGAUAUUACAGACAGCACUGCACUUUGGAGUUGGGCAGCUACAUCAAGGACCUCUCUGUGGUCCACAGUGAUCUCUCCAGCAUUGUGAUCCUGGAUAACUCCCCAGGGGCUUACAGGAG